UCAACGGAUAAAAGGUACUCCGGGGAUAACAGGCUGAUACCGCCCAAGAGUUCAUAUCGACGGCGGUGUUUGGCACCUCGAUGUCGGCUCAUCACAUCCUGGGGCUGAAGUCGGUCCCAAGGGUAUGGCUGUUCGCCAUUUAAAGUGGUACGCGAGCUGGGUUUAGAACGUCGUGAGACAGUUCGGUCCCUAUCUGCCGUGGGCGUUGGAAGAUUGAAGGGGGCUGCUCCUAGUACGAG
This 239-nucleotide ribosomal RNA is filed under the name Vibrio cholerae. RNAcentral's name for it is "partial 23S ribosomal RNA". It matches the Rfam family "Bacterial large subunit ribosomal RNA", at positions 2449 to 2687 of the family's 2925-position model. The record is from RNAcentral. Lineage: Bacteria; Pseudomonadati; Pseudomonadota; Gammaproteobacteria; Vibrionales; Vibrionaceae.